GAUGAACGCUGGCGGCGUGCCUAAUACAUGCAAGUCGAGCGAACGGACGAGAAGCUUGCUUCUCUGAUGUUAGCGGCGGACGGGUGAGUAACACGUGGAUAACCUACCUAUAAGACUGGGAUAACUUCGGGAAACCGGAGCUAAUACCGGAUAAUAUUUUGAACCGCAUGGUUCAAAAGUGAAAGACGGUCUUGCUGUCACUUAUAGAUGGAUCCGCGCUGCAUUAGCUAGUUGGUAAGGUAACGGCUUACCAAGGCAACGAUGCAUAGCCGACCUGAGAGGGUGAUCGGCCACACUGGAACUGAGACACGGUCCAGACGCCUACGGGAGGCAGCAGUAGGGAAUCUUCCGCAAUGGGCGAAAGCCUGACGGAGAAACGCCGCGUGAGUGAGGAAGGUCUUCGGAUCGUAAAACUCUGUUAUUAGGGAAGAACAUAUGUGUAAGUAACUGUGCACAUCUUGACGGUACCUAAUCAGAAAGCCACGGCUAACUAAGUG
RNAcentral lists this ribosomal RNA (497 nucleotides) under uncultured bacterium. RNAcentral's name for it is "partial 16S ribosomal RNA". It matches the Rfam family "Bacterial small subunit ribosomal RNA", at positions 28 to 507 of the family's 1533-position model. The record is from RNAcentral.